UACAGGGGGGUCAAGCGUUGUUCGGAAUUACUGGGCGUAAAGGGCCAGUAGGCGGCCAACUAAGUCCGACGUGAAAUCCCUAGGCUUAACCUAGGAACUGCGUCGGAUACUGGAUGGCUUGAAUUCGGGAGAGGGAUGCAGAAUUCCAGGUGUAGCGGUGAAAUGCGUAGAUAUCUGGAGGAAUACCGGUGGCGAAGGCGGCAUCCUGGACCGACAUUGACGCUGAACGGCGAAAGCUAGGGGAGCAAACGGG
This 253-nucleotide ribosomal RNA is filed under the name uncultured bacterium. Its description in RNAcentral is "partial 16S ribosomal RNA". It matches the Rfam family "Bacterial small subunit ribosomal RNA", at positions 524 to 776 of the family's 1533-position model. The record is from RNAcentral.